RNAcentral lists this ribosomal RNA (301 nucleotides) under uncultured bacterium. RNAcentral describes it as "partial 16S ribosomal RNA". It matches the Rfam family "Bacterial small subunit ribosomal RNA", at positions 509 to 809 of the family's 1533-position model. The record is from RNAcentral.
CAGUAGCCGCGGUAAAACGGAGGGUGCAAGCGUUAUCCGGAUUUAUUGGGUUUAAAGGGUCCGUAGGCGGAUCUGUAAGUCAGUGGUGAAAUCUCACAGCUUAACUGUGAAACUGCCAUUGAUACUGCAGGUCUUGAGUAAAUUUGAAGUGGCUGGAAUAAGUAGUGUAGCGGUGAAAUGCAUAGAUAUUACUUAGAACACCAAUUGCGAAGGCAGGUCACUAAGAUUUAACUGACGCUGAUAGACGAAAGCGUGGGGAGCGAACAGGAUUAGAUACCCCCGUAGUCCCUGUCUCUUAUAA